This 30-nucleotide non-coding RNA is filed under the name Mus musculus (house mouse). Lineage: Eukaryota; Metazoa; Chordata; Mammalia; Rodentia; Muridae. The record is from RNAcentral.
UGNGAGCCCCAUUAUGCAGCUGUGCAUUGC